AGUGAACGCUGGCGGUAGGCCUAACACAUGCAAGUCGAACGGCAGCACAGGAGAGCUUGCUCUCUGGGUGGCGAGUGGCGGACGGGUGAGGAAUACAUCGGAAUCUACUCUGUCGUGGGGGAUAACGUAGGGAAACUUACGCUAAUACCGCAUACGACCUACGGGUGAAAGCAGGGGACCUUCGGGCCUUGCGCGAUUGAAUGAGCCGAUGUCGGAUUAGCUAGUUGGUGGGGUAAAGGCCCACCAAGGCGACGACCCGUAGCUGGUCUGAGAGGAUGAUCAGCCACACUGGAACUGAGACACGGUCCAGACUCCUACGGGAGGCAGCAGUGGGGAAUAUUGGACAAUGGGCGCAAGCCUGAUCCAGCCAUACCGCGUGGGUGAAGAAGGCCUUCGGGUUGUAAAGCCCUUUUGUUGGGAAAGAAAUCCAGCUGGCUAAUACCCGGUUGGGAUGACGGUACCCAAAGAAUAAGCACCGGCUAACUUCGUGCCAGCCGCCGCAGUAA
Molecule: ribosomal RNA, 506 nt
Filed under: uncultured bacterium
Lineage: Bacteria
Description: partial 16S ribosomal RNA
Rfam family: Bacterial small subunit ribosomal RNA
Source: RNAcentral